This 366-nucleotide ribosomal RNA is filed under the name Granulicatella adiacens. Its description in RNAcentral is "bacterial SSU rRNA". It matches the Rfam family "Bacterial small subunit ribosomal RNA", at positions 28 to 382 of the family's 1533-position model. The record is from RNAcentral. Lineage: Bacteria; Bacillati; Bacillota; Bacilli; Lactobacillales; Carnobacteriaceae.
GACGAACGCUGGCGGCGUGCCUAAUACAUGCAAGUCGAACGAGAGCGACCGGUGCUUGCACUGGUCAAUCUAGUGGCGAACGGGUGAGUAACACGUGGGUAACCUGCCCAUCAGAGGGGGAUAACAUCCGGAAACGGAUGCUAAAACCGCAUAGGUCUUCGAGCCGCAUGGCUUGAAGAGGAAAAGAGGCGCAAGCUUCUGCUGAUGGAUGGACCCGCGGUGCAUUAGCUAGUUGGUGAGGUAACGGCUCACCAAGGCCGUGAUGCAUAGCCGACCCGAGAGGGUGAUCGGCCACAUUGGGACUGAGACACGGCCCAAACUCCUACGGGAGGCAGCAGUAGGGAAUCUUCCGCAAUGGACGCAAGU